RNAcentral lists this ribosomal RNA (487 nucleotides) under uncultured bacterium. RNAcentral's name for it is "bacterial SSU rRNA". It matches the Rfam family "Bacterial small subunit ribosomal RNA", at positions 501 to 989 of the family's 1533-position model. The record is from RNAcentral.
CUACGUGCCAGCAGCCGCGGUAAUACGUAUGUCGCGAGCGUUAUCCGGAAUUAUUGGGCAUAAAGGGCAUCUAGGCGGUUAUGCAAGUCAGGGGUGAAAACUUACGGCUCAACCGUGAGCUUGCCUUUGAAACUGUGUGACUAGAGUACUGGAGAGGCGGGCGGAACUACACGAGUAGGGGUGAAAUUCGUAGAUAUGUGUAGGAAUGCCGAUGAUGAAGAUAGCUCACUGGACAGAAACUGACGCUGAAGUGCGAAAGCUAGGGGAGCGAACAGGAUUAGAUACCCUGGUAGUCCUAGCUGUAAACGAUGAUCACUGGGUGUGGGCAUGAAGAGUGUCUGUGCCGAAGCUAAUGCGAUAAGUGAUCCGCCUGGGGAGUACGACCGCAAGGUUGAAACUCAAAGGAAUUGACGGGGACCCGCACAAGCGGUGGAGCAUGUGGUUUAAUUCGACGCAACGCGAGGAACCUUACCAGAUCUUGACAUCC